AUGCGUAAUCAGGUCGGCAUCAACCUGGACGGCUUCGACCUGGACGGCUUCCCCCUCGACCACGAGUUCCCGAACAACUACGAGCUAGAGGAAGAGGACGAGUGCGACAUCGACGUGGAGCCUUUGUUCGAGGACGAGCUCACCAACCAAGCCGCCGGUCCUAAGACGAAGCGCAAGAGCAAGCGUACAAAGGCGUACACAGCGGCCAAGGACAAGCUUCUUUGCGAGUGUUCGCGAGAGAUUGGACAAGACCCCAAGACGGGCACCGAGCAAAAGCAUUCAACCUUUUGGAUUCGUGUCCACCGAGAGUUUCAUGAGCGCAAGAAGUUUCCGCCGUACCAAUUUGUGAGCACGCGCGGGUGGGUCUCAAUUUCCAAACGGUGGAGGGUGAUCCAACAAGAGUGCAACAAGUUUUGUGCCGCUCUUGAGAGCGUCAAAGCCCGCCUCGUGAGUUGCAUCAGCAUGCAAGACAUGGUAUUGCUAGCAAGCCGCCCUCUUUUGUGUCAUCAAGUUCAUCCUUUGCGUGUUCAUUUGCAUAUCACUUGCCCAUAUGCUUGCAUAGAAACAUUUUGUAGGCAUUUCAAGCUUUGGAGGCAUUCAAGGUGCAACACAAUGACAAGUGCUUCAACCUCUCCCAUUGCUAUCGGGUCAUCAAGGACGAGGAGACGUUCAAGGCGCAAUAUGCCGCACUCAAGUCGCGUGGGGGAAGAAAGCCAUGGAGGAUGUUGGGGAGGGCGAGACGGCACGGCCGCGGGAGAAGACCAACUCCAAAAAAGAGGACAAGCGAGAUGCGGCCACCAACGCUUUGAUCGCAAGCGUGGACGGCAUGAUGAACAAGAAGGACUCAAGGGAGGAGGAGCGCCGGCGUUUUAA
RNAcentral lists this ribosomal RNA (873 nucleotides) under Triticum aestivum (bread wheat). RNAcentral's name for it is "partial small subunit ribosomal RNA". Lineage: Eukaryota; Viridiplantae; Streptophyta; Magnoliopsida; Poales; Poaceae. The record is from RNAcentral.